GAUGAACGCUGGCGGCGUGCCUAAUACAUGCAAGUCGAACGAACAGAUGAGGAGCUUGCUCCUCUGACGUUAGCAGCGGACGGGGGAUUAACAAGAGGUUAACCUCCCGCCACGACUGGGUGAACAUCGGGAAACCGGAGUUACUACCGGAUAAUAUAUUGAACCUCUUGGAUCAAUAGUGUAAGAAGGUUUUUCUGUCGCUGAUGGAUGGAUCCGCGCCGGAUUAGCUAGUUGGUAAGGUAACGGCUUACCAAGGCAACGAUGCGUAGCCGACCUGAGAGGGUGAUCGGCCACACUGGAACGGAGACACGGUGCAGACUCCUACGGGAGGCAGCAGUAGGGAAGCUUACGCAAUGGGGGAAAGCCGGACGGUGCAACGCCGCGUGAGUGAUGAAGGUCUUCGGAUCGUAAAACUCUGUUAUUAGGGAAGAACAAAUGUGUAAGUAACUAUGCACGUCUUGACGGUACCUAAUCAGAAAGCCACGGCUAACUACGUG
Molecule: ribosomal RNA, 497 nt
Filed under: uncultured bacterium
Lineage: Bacteria
Description: partial 16S ribosomal RNA
Rfam family: Bacterial small subunit ribosomal RNA
Source: RNAcentral